RNAcentral lists this long non-coding RNA (537 nucleotides) under Callithrix jacchus (white-tufted-ear marmoset). Its description in RNAcentral is "lncRNA (ENSCJAG00000081030.1)". The record is from RNAcentral. Lineage: Eukaryota; Metazoa; Chordata; Mammalia; Primates; Cebidae.
AUUGAAAAUUUUCAAAAGAAAAAAAAAAGGAAGGAAGAGAGAAAAGGAAAUUGGCCCUCCUUCACGAAAAAGUUGAGAAGAGUGGUCUUUGAUGAAUCAGGCUUGGCCUAGCCCUUGCAGAUGGGUGAGACUUCCACAGCUAACUAUAUGGAACAAGGGUGGAACAAGGCCAGUCAGCAGCAUCUAUUCAAAAGGAGGGAUUCCGGGAACAAAUGAAGACAAAGACAGUUUGCACAGUCGGAAGACAGGAAGUGCACUGUGCCAGGUGCCAGAUUUAUAACCACAAAAACAGAGAGGCAGAAUGUCUUCAUUUCCAGUGGACAAGACAGACGAUGUGUAAGUAAACACAUAAAUAAACAGGAUAAUCAGAUAAUGCAGUAAGUGCCGGGAAGGAAAUACAUGGUGAUACGACAGGCCUUUUUCCUUUAUUCAGUUCUGUUGGCAAUACUCUGCACAUAGCAAGUGCUCAGUUAGUUACGUCUUAUUAAACAUGCGGUAACACAAAACUGCCUGACACUUCAGAAUAGAAGAUCCAAU